UCUGUAAUGCCUGCCCAAGGCCUGAGUCAGCAAGGCACAGCUUUUUUCUUUUUUCUGUCUCUAUCUUUCAGGCCCUAGCCAGAACCUAAGCAUGCCUUCUCUCAUGCUUUGAGCACCCUUAAUUGCUUCUCCAUAGCUUCCCUCCUUGCUAUAUAGACGUCCAUACCAGCUUAAACAGCAAGUCUUUUCCCUUUUGCUCCUCCGUUCUCUUCCUCUGGGCCAGUUGCUGAGAUUUGCAGCUUGUCAGCCUGGGAGCUUUUCUUUUAAACUCUUAAUAAAACUUGUCCUUGAGCUUCUUUUUAAACCCAUUCUUAAAUUGUUUUACAAAUGAGACAAAAAACUGGAAGCGGUGGCCCCAAUUUCCCUUGUAUCGUUAGGUGAUGAACGGCACCCGCUCAAAUUCCUGGAAAAGUAUCGAUGCUUCCUGUAAAAGAUCAGAUUCCCUUAGUGAGCUGAUAAGGUCGGAGCUUGCCUUGAAAUCAAUUAUUCGCCCAAAGCAGCAGUCAAGCACACAGCUUUAGCUUUGCCAGACGUCAAGUUGUGGUUCUUCCCUUGCAGCUCUUGGUUACCAAGAUGGUACGCCGGCUCCUCUCUCUCUAGCAGAAUGUGCGUGGUAGAAGCUCAACCAACUAGAGCGUCACAGUUACUGAGUGAAGAUGGGCUCUUGAGCCAAGCAGAGGCAGUAAUGCUCUGUACCCAUCUACUGAGACACUGAGGUCUUACACUGCUCUGGAAUGCAGUUUGGAGAUUCUGUCACCCGACCAGGAAGGAUACUUAACAGCAGUGCAACUAACAUGGAGGAGAACAGAUAUGAGGACGACGGAAAGCGUUUAAGUAUCGGUUGGAAGGGAAAUCGUGGUUUGGAGACUGCGCCGGAGAGCCGUCGCCCUGUGCGGACGUUACCGCCACCGUGUGGACAGUGCUGGAACCUGUGGGGACCAGGAGGUGGCCCGGCUAAGCGGAUCCUGUGUUCUUCGGAAAGAUUUACUCAAUUUACCCCUAAGAGCAAGUUUGAAAAGUUCCCGUAAGGAAGACACUCGCCUGCGGUUUGCGAAUAUUAACACUCACAAAGGUUAAGAUGAAACCACAUUGCUUUUUCUUGUACACACAAUACAGUGCAAUGCAAACAGAACAGUGACUCGGUACACAUCAGCCAUUUUAAAAGCCACCGCAUGUGUUUUAUUUUUAUUUUUUUCACAUGAGUAAUUUUCACACAUCUCUCUCUCUUCCUUGGUGGAUGUGCAGACCUCAGUUCCCCAACAGACUACAUCCUCGUGUUUUAUACAGAGAUGUUUCAAAUGCCUCAUGUUACACACAUAAUGCCGUGUUUGUAAAAAUCCAUGCAAUAUGUUUCUCUAACAAAAUAAGCCAACUAAUUAAAUUUAAGUUUUACCUUUGGUAAUGAGGCUUUAGCUAUGUACCUGUUUAUUAAUCAUUAAAAACUCAAAUAUAUUUAAAAUGUUGAUCAGUAAACAUUCAAAUGUUUUAUUUUGAGGUUUUAAUCUCUUUCCCUGCCCAUGACAUGUGCUUGUUAUUGUCACAUGACAGAGACCAUCCUGGAAGCCUUUCAAAGUUAUUAUGUUUCCUAUGUGUAAGGUUAAAGAAGUAUCAAUUCCAGGAAAAAAAAAAAAAGGUAAUAGGAAUGGAAGAAAUAGGCAAUGUUAACCCAGUUUCAAAAUGAUUUUUUAGUUCCCUACCCCAAAGGACUUUGUACUUUUAAUAAUUUUCCCUUUUCCAUCAGUGGACAGCAAAGUUGGGUCCUAAUUCAAGGUGUUGACAGCAAAAUAAUUAGAGCCCCUGGGGCCUGGGAGGGUAUUUGAUUCUCGUCUGUUGAUUAACUGACCGGUUCUCAGCACAGUGGCCCCGCAGUCACCCCUUCGACUGGGGCUCCCAUGGUCCCCACACCCAUCACUUUCCAGUGCACUCCAGACAGUCUGUGCUUUUGUGGUGGGAGAAAGGACCUAGACACGGAGGAGGGGGAGGCAGAGAACAGCUCACCAGAGAUUAACGAGGCAAACAGAUUUCAGAAAGGAAUGCAAACGGAACUUGAGGAUAGAAAGAAAAUGCUUCGUAUGUUAGCACUCCUUUCAAAAGCGUGCUCACGCCAGGCAGUCACUGCUUUACCUGCGGAGCCAGGCUGUGCUGAAGCUCUCCAGAAGGUGGUAGGGGUGAUAUGAAGUUUCCAAACUUGGGGCUGAGAAGAUGGUGCAGUUGUCAUGCGAGGGUGAGGUCCUGAGUUCGAAUCCCCAGCACUCAAUACAUGGCCACACCUGCUGUAACUUCAGUGUUGUGGUGGCAGAAGGUUCACUGGAGCGUGGUGGCAGCCAGCCUAGCUCCAAGUUCAGCCAGAAAGCCUUGCUCAGGGGAAUGAGGUGGUAAGCGGCAGAGGAGGACAUCAGACGUCCUACUCUAACCUCAUCCCACACAGGCACAAGCAGCCACAGGCGUCUAACCACACCACGCGCACACAAGUGCACACAAACACACUUUUAACGUGGAAUUUACUGAGUUCUUUACUUUUACUGCCUUAUAAGUUAAAAAAGAAAGAUGUUGGGAGAUUCACAGUCAUGCUAUGAGAACACUUCGACUUUCUAAAAACAAAAAACCAAAAACAACACAGCAAUUGUGCUGUUGGAGGCUGUGGUUCCUAUUUCACUUUGAAAUCCUGUCAGCCAGCCUGGCCAUAAAUUAGACGUAUCUCAGAAGCUUGAAAAUACGCUUUCCGUCUGCAUGCUCCCUCCAGGGUGGCCUGGCCAUGGACCUGUGUGUUGUUCCAGACCCCACAUGGCCAAAUGACCCGGGCCGAGAAGGCUGGUUUCCGGGCUAAGGGUGAAAAACAGACACAAGAAGCCAGGAAUGCUAUCUCCAAACCUCUGCUCCAAGGGAACACGCAUCACUUCCUCCCAUAUUUCUGGGGAACGAGCAUGUUGUGGCCGCACAGAGUUCUGCGUCUGAGGGUGGACAAACUUCCUGCAGGAAGCUGCAGCAGAUACGUGAGCCAACCUGAUAAACGCAGUUCCAGGCAAAGCCCAGAGGAGAGUAGAGAUGCAAGUACCUGCCUAUGGCAGAAUGACAGCUGCCAUUCACCAUGAUGACGUCAGAAACAGGGUAUGUCAGAUGCCUGAAGACCCCUUGGAAGCCUCCUCUGCCUGAAAGCUCCUCCUGUCUGGAAUAACCCACUGUUGCCAGCAUCUUUGUGUGAAUGAGUGUGUGUGUGCUGUGUCUUUUUACACACUUGUGCAGAAGUGCUUUAAAUUUGAAAUGCUUUAAGAUCUAAUCUUUGUAUCGUUUCCACUCAUUAGGUAUUUUCAGAUGUGUCCACAUCGCCGUGUAUAAACCUAGGUAUUUCAUUUAUUCAUCAACGUAUAAACCUAGGCAUUUCAUUUAUUCAUCAACAGUGCGUUAUAUGUAUAGAUCUAAUUUAUCUAUGUUGUCUAGACUUUCAAUUUUAUUUCCAGGGGUUUACAGUAAACAUCUUUAUAUAUUAGUCUGUGCUUGCUUCUCUGAGACGUAUGCCCUUGAAAUGACUGGCU
This is a long non-coding RNA of Meriones unguiculatus (Mongolian gerbil), 3533 nucleotides long. RefSeq lists it as uncharacterized. Lineage: Eukaryota; Metazoa; Chordata; Mammalia; Rodentia; Muridae. The transcript is spliced from 3 exons. The record is from RefSeq and is a predicted model, not a curated record.